CCUGGUCGCUUAGAUGGUAAAGCGUCUGCCUACAAUGCGGGAGACCUGGGUUUGAUCCCUGGGUCAGGA
This 69-nucleotide transfer RNA is filed under the name Ovis aries (sheep). It matches the Rfam family "tRNA". Rfam says of the family: Transfer RNA (tRNA) molecules are approximately 80 nucleotides in length. Their secondary structure includes four short double-helical elements and three loops (D, anti-codon, and T loops). Lineage: Eukaryota; Metazoa; Chordata; Mammalia; Artiodactyla; Bovidae. The record is from Rfam by way of RNAcentral.